GCGGAUAUAGCUCAGCUGGUAGAGCGGCGUCUUGCCAAGGCGCAGGCCAGGAGUUCGAACCUCCUUAUCCGCUCCA
RNAcentral lists this transfer RNA (76 nucleotides) under Pseudomonas nitroreducens. Its description in RNAcentral is "tRNA-Gly". It matches the Rfam family "tRNA". Rfam says of the family: Transfer RNA (tRNA) molecules are approximately 80 nucleotides in length. Their secondary structure includes four short double-helical elements and three loops (D, anti-codon, and T loops). Lineage: Bacteria; Pseudomonadati; Pseudomonadota; Gammaproteobacteria; Pseudomonadales; Pseudomonadaceae. The record is from RNAcentral.